AACAGCCCAGGAAAAGAAAGGAGGUACAAAUUCCCUGAAAAACAACUCCCAGAAAGGCACAUCUGUGUUGAUGUAUAAAAAUAGAAAAGGGUAGAAUCCUUGUGGCUGUGGAGCCCUAGCCUAGCAGCAGAAGCACGACAUCCUGUGACGUCAAGAAGUGGUGGCGGAAGUCGCUGCGAACAAUGGCCACAGAUGCCAGCCGAGGAGAGAGCACUGCUGGGGGAAGACGUGUGUGUCACCCGGCAGCUGCGGGGCGUGCACAGGAAGGAAGUGCAGGACCCGCGGCAUCACUGGCCUCCCUCCGAGCGCUGUUGUGAGCACCAAGCGACCUCAGAAGUGCAGGGCGCUCAGCACAGGUGGUUUAUCGUCGUUGUUGUUAUGCCCUUCAUGUGGCCCAUUUCCCGCAGACACACAAGACAGAAACAGUAGCCUCUUUCAAAGAGGAGGUAAGAAUUAGAUUAAUCAGCCCCCCAUUAACAUCCCACGGUGGAGGUGUCUGCUCCAUUCACCUAAUGACCCGAACCUUUGCAUAACUUGUGCAAAUAGCUCCUGGACAGCCCUUGGGAGGGAAACGCGCUCUUCUUUUUGACUUCUAUGACAUGACAAAUCCGAAUAUGCUGGUCUUGGCACCCUGAAACAAGCCGGCAAGGGAAAUUCAGAUUUCACGUGACGCACAAGCAAAAGUGAUUUUCGCCCACCUGGAAUUUCUUCCCUUGAAUAGUUCUAAAGGAUCCUAGAAUGAGAGGAUAACAUAGGUGACAGAAAGUGAAUGCAUGGGCACAAGACGUCAGUGGAGGAGAUUUGGUUGCCACAGGGAUGCACAGUGAGGAGCUCUGAACCGUACACGUGGGAAACCAAGCACUGGGACACCGGUGCAGCCUGGGAUGAGAAGCGAGGAAGACACGAGCCAUCUGUGGGCAGUGUGGCAGCUCCCAAGGGGGAGAGGCCAGUGUGAACCCCAGAAAAGUCAGGGUCUCAGAGCCGCAUGGCUCUGUGUUUAUAAUACCCUGAGGUUAUUGAACACAUUGCCCGGAGAAGCCUGUUCCAUAAAUCCACAAAGGGAAGGGCCGCUCUGUUCUCAAUUGGGGGUAAUCUUUUUUAAAAAUUUGUAUUAUUUUUUCAAUAUUGUUGCUACUGCUGUACCCUUGGCAUUAUCUGUGAGCAAUCCUGCGGACCUGGCAGACAUCGGGACCAACUUGCAUUGGGAAAUGCCACAAGUGGAAAAUUUGAGUAAAAAAUUUCAGGAAAAUACAAUAAAAUAUUCCUGAGAGUUAAAAUUAACCGUGGGGACGUCCCUGGCGGUCCAGUGGUUAAGACUCUGCACUUGCACUGCAGAGGACACGGAGUUCGAUCCCUGGUCAGGGAACUAAGAUCUCACACGCCUGCAUGGCGCCUCCCCCAUCCCCCCCCAAAAAAUCGCUUGAAUAUGUGUGGCUCAUAUUCUUAAGUUUAAAGUUAAGUUUCAAAGGGUGUCCCUUAUAACAUUCAUAUAAAAAAUUACCUCUUUUUUUUUUUUGCGGUACGUGGGCCUCUCACUGCUGUGGCCUCUCCCGUUGCGGAGCACAGGCUCCGGACGCGCAGGCUCAGCGGCCGUGGCUCAAGGGCCCAGCCGCUCCGCGGCAUGUGGGAUCCUCCUGGACUGGGGCACGAACUCGUGUCCCCUGCAUCGGCAGGCGGACUCUCAACCACUGCGCCACCAGGGAAGCCCCCCAAAAUUACCAUUAUUUUUGAAAGCUUCUAUUUCAAAUGAUAUUGGGAUUUUAAUAUUACUUCUAAGGACUGUGAUAUAUCAGAGCUACUACUGGCUCUUACAUGUCUCAGCUUUUCCUAUAAAUGGGAAUAAAAAGAUACCUGCUAAGAGGUAUGGAUUCAUUUUAAGUUAUUGGUGAUGCCCAACUAAACUAUCAUCAUGAAUUAAAAUGCAUUAUUAUUCAGAAAUAUUGAAAGCUUAAUAAGCGGAACGAGCUUGGUAUCUUAAAGACUGACUGAAAAUCAA
Lagenorhynchus albirostris (white-beaked dolphin) is the source of this 1996-nucleotide long non-coding RNA. RefSeq lists it as uncharacterized. Lineage: Eukaryota; Metazoa; Chordata; Mammalia; Artiodactyla; Delphinidae. The transcript has 3 exons. The record is from RefSeq and is a predicted model, not a curated record.